RNAcentral lists this long non-coding RNA (1474 nucleotides) under Eucalyptus grandis. Its description in RNAcentral is "long non-coding RNA (EGRA_LNC001241)". Lineage: Eukaryota; Viridiplantae; Streptophyta; Magnoliopsida; Myrtales; Myrtaceae. The record is from RNAcentral.
UGGUGAAGGAGCAGCGGCUGUCGAGACAGAGGCCGCUGUCGGCGCCGGAGAAGACGAUGGAUUUCUCUGCUCGCAGGAGGAGACGCUCGUCGCAGGUCGCAGGAGGAGAAGCUCGUCGCUCGUCGCAGGUCGCAGGUCGCAGGAGGAGAAGCUCGUCGCAGGUCGCAGGAGGAGAAGCUCGUCGCAGGUCGCAGGUCGCAGGAGGAGAAGCUCGUCCCCGGGGGGGGGGGGAGGGGGAGGCGCUGUUCGAGCACUAUCCAAGAAAUAAAAAAGGAACACAAUUUUGUUCCUUUUUUGUUUCUGAUUUGUGUUUCAAAUCCUGGGAAAAAAAAUAGAAAAAAUGUUUAAAAACCAAAAAAAAGAAAUAUAAAUAAACACAGCCUAUAUUGCCACUAUAAUUAUAUUACCGUGAUCACAAUAAUUAAUUAUUCAAGAAAUAUACUUUAUCUUCAUUAGAAUAAGAGAUUUCUACAAUAUUGAAAGUAAUUAUAUGCCCCUUGAAUUAAAGUCGAAAGAUAUUUAGUUCAAUUAAAGUCGAAAAGUAAAAGGAAAAUUAUUCAAAAACAAGUUAAGAUAGACAUCUCUCAUGAAUAAUGUAGCAUGUCAAUUACCCAUUAAAAGUGUUUUGGUGAACCACUUUUAUAUUUAUCUAUUAAGAUAGGUCCACCAUAUCUAUUUUAGAUCUAUAUAUGAAACAUAUUUCGUUUUAUAAGCUUAAUUCAUAUCUCAAAGAAAUUAUGCUCUUUUUUUUUUUUGGCAAGCACAUCAACAAAUUUGCUUUUAAUUAACUUGUGGACUUCAGCAAAUGACAAAAAUAAUAAACAUAACUAUCAAACACUCAUGUUCUUACUUUUCUUUGAUUUUUGGCCCUAAUGACAUCAAACACUAUUUUUUUGAUUGCCAUGUCUCAGCUUCUCUUGCUUUCUUUUGGGCGACAAGGUGUAACUUACCUUGGCGAGCGAGACUGUGGGUGGAUAACCUAUCUUGGGCUAUUAAAUUCUUAUCCGAUAAAGGGUUCUUCUACUGUAUUGCUAGAGUUUCUUUUGCUGCCUUAUGUUACUUGAUUUGGGAAAAAAGGAAUGAUAUUAUAUUCCGUGGGGAAGCCUUGGUCGUCUCUGCCUUGAAAAAUCACCUGAUCAAAGUUGUAAAGGAGAAAGCGCUCACCUUCUCAAAUGUUCCAGAUAUCCCGAGAAAUAGGCGUCUUCAGAGGAACUGGGGCUUUCAUCCCUCCAUUUUCUCAGGCCAUACUUCGACUUCUAUAGGUUGUUGCUUGGAUCGCGUUCCUGCUUCAAGUUACUUUAGCUAUCCGUUCUUGGUCUCUUCGUUUCUUGAAUUGCCAAGGUUUCGUGUUGGCUGCCGUGACUUCUAUUUAGUGACCGUGUUGGUCGCUUUUUGUUUUUCUUGUUUUUGUUUCUCCUUGCCUUUGGCUUUUUCUUCGGCUCCUUUCCUCUCUUUCUACUUACUGUAGUUAGAG